This 374-nucleotide ribosomal RNA is filed under the name uncultured eukaryote. RNAcentral's name for it is "partial 18S ribosomal RNA". It matches the Rfam family "Eukaryotic small subunit ribosomal RNA", at positions 592 to 976 of the family's 1831-position model. The record is from RNAcentral.
CAAGAGCGUAUGUAAAAGUUGUUGCAGUUAAAAAGCUCGUAGUUGAACCUUGGGUUUGGUUGGCCGGUCCGCUUUUUUGCGAGUACUGGAUUCAACCGAGCCUUUCCUUCUGGCUAACCAGUCGUUUCGGCGGCUGGCGAACCAGGAUUUUUACUUUGAGAAAAUUAGAGUGUUCAAAGCAGGCAUUAGCUUAAAUAUAUUAGCAUGGAAUAAUAGAAUAGGACGUUAUGGUUCUAUUUUGUUGGUUUCUAGGACCAUCGUAAUGAUUAAUAGGGACGGUCGGGGGCAUCAGUAUUCAGUUGUCAGAGGUGAAAUUCUUGGAUUUACUGAAGACUAACUACUGCGAAAGCAUUUGCCAAGGACGUUUUCAUUAA